UUGANCGCUGAGGUUGGUACUUGUACCGACUGGAUGAGCAGCGAACGGGUGAGUAACGCGUGGGGAAUCUGCCUUUGAGCGGGGGACAACAUUUGGAAACGAAUGCUAAUACCGCAUAAAAACUUUAAACACAAGUUUUAAGUUUGAAAGAUGCAAUUGCAUCACUCAAAGAUGAUCCCGCGUUGUAUUAGCUAGUUGGUGAGGUAAAGGCUCACCAAGGCGAUGAUACAUAGCCGACCUGAGAGGGUGAUCGGCCACAUUGGGACUGAGACACGGCCCAAACUCCUACGGGAGGCAGCAGUAGGGAAUCUUCGGCAAUGGACGAAAGUCUGACCGAGCAACGCCGCGUGAGUGAAGAAGGUUUUCGGAUCGUAAAACUCUGUUGGUAGAGAAGAACGUUGGUGAGAGUGGAAAGCUCAUCAAGUGACGGUAACUACCCAGAAAGGGACGGCUAACUACGUGCCAGCAGCCGCGGUAAUACGUAGGUCCCGAGCGUUGUCCGGAUUUAUUGGGCGUAAAGCGAGCCCAGGUGGUUUAUUAAGUCUGGNGUAAAAGGCAGUGGCUCANCCAUUGUAUGCAUUGGAAA
This 586-nucleotide ribosomal RNA is filed under the name Lactococcus lactis subsp. lactis. RNAcentral's name for it is "bacterial SSU rRNA". It matches the Rfam family "Bacterial small subunit ribosomal RNA", at positions 62 to 632 of the family's 1533-position model. The record is from RNAcentral. Lineage: Bacteria; Bacillati; Bacillota; Bacilli; Lactobacillales; Streptococcaceae.